GUCGAACGCUGGCGGCGUGCCUAAUACAUGCAAGUCGGACGAGUGGCGAACGGGUGAGUAACGCCUGGUAACCUACCUAUUAGAGGGGGGUAAAUACUGGAUACGGUAGCUUAUACCCUAUAGCAUCCGUUGUGCCCAAAUGGGAAUAGCUAGUAGGUGGGGUAAAGGCUCACCUAGGCGACGAUCCCUAGCUGGUCUGAGAGGAUGACCAGCCACACUGGAACUGAGACACGGUCCAGACUCCUACGGGAGGCAGCAGUGGGGAAUAUUGCACAAUGGGCGCAAGCCUGAUGCAGCCAUGCCGCGUGUAUGAAGAAGGCCUUCGGGUUGUAAAGUACUUUCAGUGGGGAGGCGUUACCCGCAGAAGAAGCACCGGCUAACUCCGUGCCAGCCGCCGCGGUAAUUC
RNAcentral lists this ribosomal RNA (406 nucleotides) under uncultured bacterium. RNAcentral's name for it is "partial 16S ribosomal RNA". It matches the Rfam family "Bacterial small subunit ribosomal RNA", at positions 28 to 526 of the family's 1533-position model. The record is from RNAcentral.